RNAcentral lists this ribosomal RNA (419 nucleotides) under uncultured Gemmatimonas sp. Its description in RNAcentral is "bacterial SSU rRNA". It matches the Rfam family "Bacterial small subunit ribosomal RNA", at positions 355 to 774 of the family's 1533-position model. The record is from RNAcentral. Lineage: Bacteria; Pseudomonadati; Gemmatimonadota; Gemmatimonadia; Gemmatimonadales; Gemmatimonadaceae.
UGGGGAAUCUUGCGCAAUGGCCGAAAGGCUGACGCAGCGACGCCGCGUGGGGGAUGAAGGUUUUCGGAUCGUAAACCCCUGUUGCCCGGGACGAACAGCUUCUUUCGAGGAGCCUGACGGUACCGGGUGAGGAAGCACCGGCUAACUCCGUGCCAGCAGCCGCGGUAAUACGGAGGGUGCGAGCGUUGUCCGGAAUCACUGGGCGUAAAGGGCGCGUAGGCGGCUGGGAAAGUCGGUGGUGAAAGCUCGCGGCUCAACUGCGAGUCGGCCAUCGAUACUUCUCGGCUCGAGUCGACUAGAGGCAGAUGGAAUUCCGGGUGUAGCGGUGGAAUGCGUAGAGAUCCGGAAGAACACCGGUGGCGAAGGCGGUCUGCUGGGGUCGAACUGACGCUGAGGCGCGACAGCGUGGGGAGCAAACA